This 497-nucleotide ribosomal RNA is filed under the name uncultured bacterium. RNAcentral describes it as "partial 16S ribosomal RNA". It matches the Rfam family "Bacterial small subunit ribosomal RNA", at positions 28 to 507 of the family's 1533-position model. The record is from RNAcentral.
GAUGAACGCUGGCGGCGUGCCUAAUACAUGCAAGUCGAGCGAACAGACGAGGAGCUUGCUCCUCUGACGUUAGCGGCGGACGGGUGAGUAACACGUGGAUAACCUACCUAUAAGACUGGGAUAACUUCGGGAAACCGGAGCUAAUACCGGAUAAUAUAUUGAACCGCAUGGUUCAAUAGUGAAAGACGGUUUUGCUGUCACUUAUAGAUGGAUCCGCGCCGCAUUAGCUAGUUGGUAAGGUAACGGCUUACCAAGGCAACGAUGCGUAGCCGACCUGAGAGGGUGAUCGGCCACACUGGAACUGAGACACGGUCCAGACUCCUACGGGAGGCAGCAGUAGGGAAUCUUCCGCAAAGGGCGAAAGCCUGACGGAGCAACGCCGCGUGAAUGAUGAAGGUCUUCGGAUCGUAAGACUCUGUUAUUAGGGAAGAACAAAUGUGUAAGUAACUAUGCACGUCUUGACGGUACCUAAUCAGAAAGCCACGGCUAACUACGUG